CAAAUGCACAAAUUACAGUUUUAAUCCAUUAUCUAAAUUAUUUAUCUGUCCUUCUGCAGAGCACAGCAGUAGGGGGUACUUCCAUAGGUGGUACUAGGGACAGUAUAUCCCCAGCAUCCCACGGAACACCGGGACAGCCGAGCUGCACCGCCUCGGGACCCUGCAGCCCUGGUCACGCCCUGGUUUCCAGAGAAAAAUCCAGGGGGCCAGGGGCAUCCCCGGCCACCGGGGCGAUCCCCCGACACAAGAGCGGGCCCAGGGUGCCCAUUCCCAGCGCCGUGCCGGGAUCGCCGUUACCGCGGCAACGGCGCGGCCGAGCCCCGCGGCCCCGUGACGCGGCAGCGCCGGCCCGGCCCGCGCGUUGCCGGGGAGACGCCCCGUCGCCACGGCGACCAUCACGCUGCCCUCCCCGGCUAACGAGGAAAAAUAGUAAGAACCGCCUCAGCUGCCACGAGAGCCGUCAGCGUCACCGCUCAGUGCCGGUGCUGCUGCGGGCCCUGCUGCAGCUGGCUCAUCACACCUUCGCCAUGAGGGGGGGUGGGCCAGCACGGGCCAUGAACCGCAUUCCCGGCCCUUACGAGCAUCGAGGAGAAAGCAGCUCUGCUAAACCUCAGCGCCCUGCUUUACUGCUUCGUGGAUGGCAGCCAUAGAUUAUGCCUCUCUGCUAACACUGGUCGUAAAUGAAUGCCAGAUCAAAAAACACAAAACGAACAGAAAAACUCCACCCCAUGUCUGUUUCACUGAAGCAAAGGAGAAAAUCCAGGCUAAUCCUAAGGGCCACCACAGGCAUCCAUCCACCACCAAGGGCUGGUCAAGCCACCUGGGCACCAACUCAACCUGGUGGACAUCCUGUGGCUGCACAGGCAACAUCGGCCCUCAGCUCUCCCAGGAAAAGAAUGGGCCCAUUUCCUCUGAGCGCUCCUCUGCAAAACGGCUGUUGCAGGAAGCCUGCAUGAUGCCAGCAGGAGCAUGAGCAGCACUCCCCCUCAUGUGUACAGAGAAGUUAGGAAUGUCUUCUAGUGCAUGACCUAGACACCCAGCAAGUCUGAGCUGCAGCCAAGACUGCCAACCCAAAGCGUGUCUCCAGAGUCCAGGUUCCUGAUCCUGCAAGGGCACUUCAACACCAGGUCCGGAAUGAUUCUCUACCAUUAUUUCAGUCACGGUGACCCACUGCCCAUGGGCACAACUGAUCCACUGCUCCUCCAGCACACCAGCAUGUGUCCAUUAGUACAGGUACGACGUUCACAGGACGCCCCCACAAAACAGGAAGCCUGUGUGUGUUUGUAGUGUACUGAAAGAAGAAAUGACAGGCUCCUCAGAAAAAUGAGACACUGGACAACCUCAGCAGCACCAGCAACUCUAAGAAGAAGACUGGGGCACUUGCUGAAAGACACACCACCUACAGAAAGAAGGACUGAUGCUUGGCUUGAACAGAACAAGGAAAGAAACAGAGUUUGGAGUAGGGGAGGGGAAAAGAAAUUGGAGAGAGUCUAGAAACUUCUGGAAAAAAAGCUAUGCAACUUCUACAUGGGGCUAAGUCACCAUCUUCAACCUCUGACUCCUCGGUGUUUACUAGGAAGCUUUUACUCAUUCUGAUCAUUGCAUACAAAAAGGCUGCUGAUCAAUAUUGCACAAGAGUGAUCAGUGAUUAAACAUCAGUGUAUGAAUUUAUCUGACUUAACAUGCCUGGAGUGGAAGGAAACAGGGAGAAACAAUUUCUGAGCAGACUCCAGUGAUGAAAAUCAACAAUUUGCCCAACAUCAGAUGAUCAUGUGAGGAGCUCAGAAGUAACAAGGAAGAGAAGACUUACGAUAUUCUCAGAAGGUUUUUAAAAAGCUGUUUUCCUCCCAAUUAUUCAUGAUCAAAUAAGCCUUUGAACAGAUCUACCAUCUAAGGGAAAAGAAAAUCUCAUUUAGGGAUGCCAAAGCAAGACUAUUUUGAUGACACAGGUGUCAUGCAACCAGGCCUGCUGUGACCUGAGUCACUGCUCCAGGUCUCCUGUGAUCUUUUUCUUGAUCAGUUUCACACAGGAAGCCUUCAUAUCUGACACACCAAAAAUAGCAUACGGUUUAAAAACGAAAAUCCUUCAGAGAAGGGCUGCAACUCUUUUCUUUUUCAAAAUGCAAAUGUACUUUCAGUAUAGUGCAAAGAUGUCUGAAAGCACUGGUCCCCGCAUUCCUCAGACAGAUGCUUAAGACCAGUUACAUUUAGAGACGAUGCAGGUAUGAAAAAAAAGAGAACUAAGGUGUGUGUGUCAGGGGGGAAACCACAAAAACAGCAAUUGGAAUUGAAUAGCUGAAGGUGAAAAGCAACGAAAAAUAAGAUACAAAUACCCCUACAGAGAAAAAUGCAUAGCUAGAAAAUUAAGUCCAAACUGCUGAAGGCCAUACUCAAAGGUUGAACAAAAAGGAAUGGAUGCCUUAUAUUGAUUCCAUUCACCCUACCAAUACUGAAACACUUAAAAAGCAGUCAUCUUACCUUUCAGAGCUGCAUCAUGUACCAAACCCUGCUGAAAACCAGUAACCAGCCUUUGAGGACGCUGGUGCUGUAAAAACUCACCACGGCUUGACCCCGCAAGAGGAAGCCUGUUAUACCAGCUCCAAAGCACUGGCCCAUAAAAAGGGCUGUCUGCUCCAAAGAGUCCUUCUCUCUUCAUAGUUGCACCCAAUGACCAUAAAUGCUGACAUCUGCAUGCAUGGUGAAGGACUUCUGUAAUUACUGUGAUUUUCUUGCAAAAGACUCUCUCAGGCAAUACUAAACACACCACUAACAGAAGAGUUUGAAGGAAACUUGACAGAUUAUAGCUUUAUUGCAGCCUCCAGAAUCUGGCUUUAAUGUUGCUGAUUCAUCGCAUUUUUAGCAUGUUGGUAUUCUAGAUGUUUCCAUUAGAAAGUCAUGAGAUGGUGCAAAGUCAUGGAGGGGGAAGGGGCGCAAAUGAAAAAACAUUUCCAGCUGUAUUUGCUUCUAGAAAAGAGCUUAUUAAAGUUCUUAUAGGCUCUAAAAUAAAGCACACAGCUCCUCCCUUCAUUGUUUUUAAAUGACAACGUGAUUUUUAAGCCAAUUUCAUAACUUUUAAGAUACAAAUCUCUGUAUAAAUAGCCUCCCACACCACUCUUAUAUCUAUUCAUAUUAUUACAAACACACCUUUAGAUGAUAACAUUACUUGGUUUAACUUAAAAGCCAUGCAACACAAAGUUUAUUUGAGCAAUUGCAGAAUUCCCUCCUUUUCCAAACAAAAGCAUGUCUUGGUACACAGUGCAAGAAGUCUGAAGCUACACAUGGCAUGGACUGAAAAGCUGUUUAAACCACUCUAAAAUGGUUUCAAUUUUUCACCUGAUUCAAGAGGAAUCAAUAUAUAGUCAAAACACACAAAAAAAAAAAGUUCACUGAAGAAGCAAAUUCUUCCCCUUUUAAAUGCAUGUCAAAAUUAAAGAUUCAAAGUGCCAAUCCAACAAAUUUGCA
Vidua chalybeata is the source of this 3462-nucleotide long non-coding RNA. RefSeq lists it as uncharacterized. NCBI's taxonomy places the organism in Eukaryota, Metazoa, Chordata, Aves, Passeriformes, Viduidae. The record is from RefSeq and is a predicted model, not a curated record. The transcript has 4 exons.